CCUGAGGCUGACUCAAGGGCUUGCUUCCUGAGAGAGAACUUCUUCUGGGUGAUAGGCUGCUUCCUGAGAUGGAGUGUUCUAUAGCCAGGGACCCACAUCACCAGUUGGCCCUUGUAAAGUUGUAGAAGAUCCCAAGUUGGAAGAGACCCAUAAGGAUCAUCAACUCCCACUCCUGGCUCUGCACAGCACCAUCCAAAAAUCAGACCAUAUGAUCAGAGGAUUGUCCAAACUCUCUUUGAGCUCUGGCUGUGCCACUGCCCUGGGCAGCCUGCUCUGUGCCCCCCUGACCCUCCCCUGGGAAUUGAGAUGACAGGAUUGCAAACUCCUCUUCCUGGCACAGACUGCUCCCAUAGGUGCUGCAGGGUUCCAUUUUCUGUAGCAGAGAUCCAGAGAGGACCUCCUAAUGUCUUGGAGCUCACUCACUUUGGUUGUGAGGAAAGGCAUGUUGUGCUCUCCAUAAGUAUGUUGAGAUCCCUCAUGAAAGGAGGUAGGCUUCUGCUUGCUCUUAAUAAGUAGAAACUUUCUUAUGUGCUCCAGUGUGUAAUAAUUCACAACAGUGUGUACCAGUUCAUUCUCCUGCCAACACGACCUGGCCAGUUACACGCCUUUCCUCUUUCCCACCUAUUUUACAUUUGUGCAUAUACAAGUAGCUAUACCAGCAGCCUGUUUUUCCAGGCUGAUCAAGCCAAUCUCCUUCCACUUCCUUUUGAUGAAUGCCUCCCAGCUUUUCCAGUUAUCCUAGUAAGCUUCAAUGAUCCUCUCUGGCUGAGCUAGCCUUUUUGCUUGACCAUUUGCCAUUACAGCUGGGGCAACUUGCAGAUGAGGGAUACCAAUAAUCAUGUUUACUACCUGUGCCACAGAGACCUUUCCCAAUCCAAGGAAUUGAAUACCUGCCUCAUCCUGGCACUAAAACCAUGUUUGUCAUUUUCCCAGCUGCAUUAUGCUGAUCCUUGUCCCAUCACCUGGAACUUCUCAGUCAUUUCCAGGUGAUAAGCCAUAUGUUUAUAUCACAAGGCAAUGUGGAUAUUUAGUUCCCAAAUAAAUUACACUGCUUUUUGUACCAGUGAAUUUCUUCUCUUUCCUCAUAUUGCAGUCAGAAUCAUGUGCUGCUUCUGCUGUUAUCUCACUCCACCUCCGUACUGACACUGCCUCUAAAUUAUGCCAUUAGCAGAUUUUGUCAGGCAGUUUCUGUGCCCAAGUAAUUAAUAAAAAUGU
Long non-coding RNA from Gallus gallus (chicken), 1215 nucleotides. Lineage: Eukaryota; Metazoa; Chordata; Aves; Galliformes; Phasianidae. The record is from Ensembl.